This 492-nucleotide long non-coding RNA is filed under the name Capsicum annuum. RNAcentral's name for it is "long non-coding RNA (CANN_LNC019019)". Lineage: Eukaryota; Viridiplantae; Streptophyta; Magnoliopsida; Solanales; Solanaceae. The record is from RNAcentral.
CCCAUAAAAUUCCUUGAUCCUCAUAAUCUCUUUAUUCAUAUCCAACAACUUCAUUUCAUGCUCAGUCCUAUACUCUUUUUCCUUAUCCUCGUAAUGGUACAUCUUGGGAUUAGUAAAUGAAUUGUAAAUAUCAGGAGAUACCAUGACAUGAUGAGGAUUUAGAAGGGUAUCUUGAUUUUAAGGAUGAGAGGAGGUUGGUUGGUAGGUAGGGAGGACAUUUUGGAAAUUGGGAAAGUUUUGUGGAAUUUGGUAGUAGUUUGGUAGUAUCUGAGAAGGAUUUUGAGGAUUCAAAAAUAAAUUUUGUGGGUUCGGAGAUAGAUUUGGUGGAUUUGGUAGAUUUGGGGUGGAUUCUAUGGAUUUUGGAGUGAAUUUUGUGGAUUCGGAGAUGGAUUUUGUGGAGUUAGGGAUGGAUUUUAUGGAGGGUAAGCAUCUAGGUUAUUUUUGUGAUUAGUGUUUUGGACAAGUGGAGGAGCAGAGAUGGAUGAUAUGUUA